AGUGAACGCUGGCGGUAGGCCUAACACAUGCAAGUCGAACGGCAGCACAGUAAGAGCUUGCUCUUACGGGUGGCGAGUGGCGGACGGGUGAGGAAUACAUCGGAAUCUACUUUUUCGUGGGGGAUAACGUAGGGAAACUUACGCUAAUACCGCAUACGACCUACGGGUGAAAGCAGGGGAUCUUCGGACCUUGCGCGAGUGAAUGAGCCGAUGUCGGAUUAGCUAGUUGGCGGGGUAAAGGCCCACGAAGGCGACGAUCCGUAGCUGGUCCGAGAGGAUGAUCAGCCACACUGGAACUGAGACACGGUCCAGACUCCUACGGGAGGCCGCAGUGGGGAAUAUUGGACAAUGGGCGCAAGCCUGAUCCAGCCAUACCGCGUGGGUGAAGAAGGCCUUCGGGUUGUAAAGCCCUUUUGUUGGGAAAGAAAAGCAGCAGGUUAAUACCCCGCUGUUCUGACGGUACCCAAAGAAUAAGCACCGGCUAACUUCGUG
RNAcentral lists this ribosomal RNA (492 nucleotides) under uncultured bacterium. RNAcentral's name for it is "partial 16S ribosomal RNA". It matches the Rfam family "Bacterial small subunit ribosomal RNA", at positions 29 to 507 of the family's 1533-position model. The record is from RNAcentral.